UAGAGUUUGAUCCUGGCUCAGAAUCAACGCUGGCGGCGUGCCUAACACAUGCAAGUCGUACGAGAAAGUCCGCAAGGAUGAGUAAAGUGGCGACCGGGUGAGUAACACGUGACUACCUACCUUCUAGUGGGGGAUAACUCCGGGAAACCGGAGCUAAUACCGCAUAACAUCGCAAGAUCAAAGCAGCAAUGCGCUGGAAGAGGGGGUCGCGGCUGAUUAGCUAGUUGGUAGGGUAAUGGCCUACCAAGGCAAAGAUCGGUAUCCGGCCUGAGAGGGCGCACGGCCACACUGGCACUGACACACGGGCCAGACUCCUACGGGAGGCAGCAGUGGGGAAUUUUGCACAAUGCCCGAAAGGGUGAUGCAGCAACGCCGCGUGAGGGAUGAAGGCCUUCGGAUCGUAAACCUCUUUCGAUCGGGAAAAACGGCCCUGUGAAGAGCGGGGUCUGAUGGUACCGGAUGAAGAAGCCCCGGCCAACUACGUGCCAGCAGCCGCGGUAAUACGUAGGGGGCGAGCGUUGUUCGGAAUUACUGGGCCUAAAGGGCGUGUAAGGCGGGUCGUAAUCUGGGCGCGAAAUUCCCCGGCCUUACUCGGGGGGGGCGUUUAUAACUGCCGCGCUUAGGUGGUGAAAAGGGCACGGGGACUCCCCGCCGACCGGUAAAUUGCGCAAUUUCGCGCGGCCCCGUGGGGUCGCCGCGCGCCCUGUGCCGGCGGCGAGGACGGCGGCUUAGGAUUAGGGUGGGUAGGGCGUUGCUCUUCUGGGUGGCGGCUGNCCUAGUCUAGACCUGGGNGGGAAACCCAGCUGNGGUGCCCGNGCACUGGCGCGCAGNCGGAUCAGAACGGGCAG
Molecule: ribosomal RNA, 848 nt
Filed under: uncultured bacterium
Lineage: Bacteria
Description: bacterial SSU rRNA
Rfam family: Bacterial small subunit ribosomal RNA (bases 3-728)
Source: RNAcentral